ACUCCUACGGGAGGCAGCAGUAGGGAAUCUUCCACAAUGGGCGCAAGCCUGAUGGAGCAACACCGCGUGAGUGAAGAAGGGUUUCGGCUCGUAAAGCUCUGUUGUUAAAGAAGAACACGUAUGAGAGUAACCGUUCAUACGUUGACGGUAUUUAACCAGAAAGUCACGGCUAACUACGUGCCAGCAGCCGCGGUAAUACGUAGGUGGCAAGCGUUAUCCGGAUUUAUUGGGGCGUAAAGAGAGUGCAGGCGGUUUUCUAAGUCUGAUGUGAAAGCCUUCGGCUUAACCGGAGAAGUGCAUCGGAAACUGGAUAACUUGAGUGCAGAAGAGGGUAGUGGAACUCCAUGUGUAGCGGUGGAAUGUGUAGAUAUAUGGAAGAACACCAGUGGCGAAGGCGGCUACCUGGUCUGCAACUGACGCUGAGACUCGAAAGCAUGGGUAGCGAACAGGAUUAGAUACCCUGGUAGGAUAGCG
RNAcentral lists this ribosomal RNA (474 nucleotides) under uncultured bacterium. RNAcentral's name for it is "bacterial SSU rRNA". It matches the Rfam family "Bacterial small subunit ribosomal RNA", at positions 335 to 801 of the family's 1533-position model. The record is from RNAcentral.